RNAcentral lists this long non-coding RNA (1255 nucleotides) under Homo sapiens (human). Its description in RNAcentral is "HSALNT0358111". The record is from RNAcentral. Lineage: Eukaryota; Metazoa; Chordata; Mammalia; Primates; Hominidae.
AGGAUUAACAGAGCAUUAACUAUUUACACUAUCAUGGGAGGGACAUGGAUCCUGACUUCCUUUGCUGUACACCCACAACCUGUGGGUCAGCCUUCUUCUAUCCCAUGCCGAAGAGAGGAGGGUAGAUAUCAGCUCCACAAGAGGAGAAGCUGGAUACCGAUUUUCCAGGUAGUCUUGUGCUCUUCAGAUAGCAAUGGAUUUGUAACCCAUCAACUCUAUUUCUGAAUUCAGCUUCCAAUGAUAGAACUUCCUUCCAGAUUCUUGCAAAUGGCUCAGUUUCAGUUUACAGUACUCUAACUUUUGUCUUGUUUUAUGUCUUCAUUGCCAUUUUAAUGGUAAACUGGGAGAGUCAUAAUAAGACAGCUGACUUGAUGCUAUCAAGUCCCAGAAGUCUGUCUAUCAUUUUCAAAAGUGAAAACUAAGGUACUUGGUGAACUGAUUUGGUUUAUUCAUUAAAUUAGUAGUCGGUGACUAAGCUAAUUACCACAAUAUAAUUACGGUAAAUACUACAUUUACAUAUGGUAAAUAUUUGAUGUUCAGCAGAAAUAAUAAAUUUGUGAUUUAGUUUCAUAAAGACCUGGCCAGGGAGUGAUGUAGCUGGAAACAGAAAACCCAGGUAUUUUCUGGCUAUCAAUGUAAUCUCAAAACAUUAUGACACUUUGUUGCAAAUAUUCAUCUUUACCAAAACAAAGGUCACAUUUUCAUCCCAAUAUCAAGAAAAAAUGGAUUUAUAAAGGUGAAUUCAUUUUUUAUUUUGUUUUUACAAACACAUACAAGAUAUAAUUAAGUCUAGGCAAAGAUGAAAAGACAUUACGUAAGUAUCCGAUUUUCUCAGAGUUUCCGUUCCUUAAUUUAAAAUUAUCUUUUGGAAAGAAGAAACACAUGCAGAAAUAAGUUCAAUUUUUACACUUGAGUAAUUGUGGGCAGGAAAUAGUUUUUUAUUUUAUUUUAAAUACUUUUACUUGAGCCUCCUUCUAAAUGUACAGUUAUUUCUAAUAUUAUGAAUUGCUACAAUCAAUAAACUGUUAUGAAAUGACAAUAGAUGUUGACUAUCAUGGCAUUUGAGUGUUUAACAGCAACUUAACAUAUGUCAUUUAUAUACUGAGUGACACUAUAUUAGAAGCAAGAAAUGAAGGAUAUGUUUAGUUUUUAUAAAAUCUCAAAGAUCUAUAGUAAUUUAUUCACAAAAAAUUUAUUGCACAUAAUGAACAAUACCACAUAAAAAUACAUGUUUGAUAGCAAAAGAAUACAAGGA